Molecule: ribosomal RNA, 492 nt
Filed under: Cardiodactylus haddocki
Lineage: Eukaryota; Metazoa; Arthropoda; Insecta; Orthoptera; Gryllidae
Description: LSU rRNA
Rfam family: Bacterial large subunit ribosomal RNA
Source: RNAcentral
CUUCUUGAAUUUAUGAGAAGUCGAUUCUGUCCACUGAGAAUUAUUGAAGGACCGCGGUAUUUUGACCGUGCAAAGGUAGCAUAAUCAUUAGUUUUUUAAUUGGAAACUGGAAUGAAUGAUUUAACGAAAUAAUUAGUGUCUCUGGUAUAAUUAAUUGAAUUUUACUUUUAAGUUAAAAGGCUUAAGUACUAAUAAGGGACGAGAAGACCCUAUAGAUCUUUAUGUUAAUUUUAAUAUUAUUAUUUUGGAUGUAUGGUUAUAUUAUUAAGUUUAAUAUUGUGUUGGGGUGAUAUGAGAAUAUAAUAACUUCUUAAUUUUUAACUUUGAUAGAUGAAUUUAAGAUCCUAUAUUUAUGGAAUAAAGAUUAAGAUACCUUAGGGAUAACAGCGUAAUUUUAUUGGAAAGUUCUUAUUGAUAAUGAAGAUUGCGACCUCGAUGUUGGAUUAAGAAUAUACAUAUAUUGGUGUAGAUGCUGAUGUUAUUGGUCUGUUC